UCAAGCGAUUCUCCUGCCUCACCCUCCUGAGUAGCUGGGACUACAGGCCUGCGCCACCACACCUGGCUAACUUCUGAAUAUCAAGCUGAAAUUACUAUCAGAUAUCUUGCCACCACAUAGAGGCUUUGAGUGAAGUCUGCAUGGAGGAGAACAGAGCUGAGAGAUGGAAAGAUACUGAAUCCCAGUGACGUCCUUUGAGAUGUCGGAUCAAGCUGAGCUGGGCAUGAAGAUAGAGCUACUCCUAUACUUUUAAGAUACCAAUAACAAGCAAGAUUCAGAAGUCCAACAAGUAAGACAUUGAUUUCAUUAAGAGAGAACUAGUAAGCAAGCUAUUUGGGAAGUACACUCUCAUAAGAAUAUUGUUUCAUGAAGUCUUGAGCAACAAAGGAAAUAGUCCAUGAAGUGCACUGCUGUCAGACUCCCUCUAAGAAUACUUCAACUGCUCAUGAAGCGGGGGGCCUUAACUAUUUACUUCUUUUGGAAGCCUCCAUCUGGCCCAUCUAUCUUUAUUCUCCCAGGAUCACAGGCAGAACACCUGAGCCACAGUAUCAGAACUAGGGUUGGAAGCCUGCUUUUCCUGGAAUGAAACCCCUCACUCUUCAAGUGUCCAGGAGACAAGAGUCAUUGUGCAAGCCUAUCUCUAGAGAGGCUAACAGACUCUUUCUGGCUUUGAAAGAAACAAGCUGCCAUAUUGAAACAAGCUGCCAUAUUAUGUGUGAGCUGCCCUAAGGAAAGACACACAUGGUAAGGAAGAGAGGAUGACCUCUGGCUGAUAGGCAGCAAGAAACUAAGGACCUCAGUCUGAGAACCUGCAAGGAGCUGAAUUCUUCCAAUUACCAUGUGAGCUUGGAAGCAGCUCCUUCCCCAGUCAAGCCUCAGAUGAGACCCCAGCCCUGGCCAACACCUUGAUUGCAGCCUCUUAUGAAGAUUGUAGUCCCUAAGCAGAAAAUCCAGAUAACCUGUGCCCAGAUUGCUGAGCCACAGAAAUUCACUGAGAUAAUAAACGUGUGU
This 1011-nucleotide long non-coding RNA is filed under the name Homo sapiens (human). RNAcentral's name for it is "HSALNT0316437". Lineage: Eukaryota; Metazoa; Chordata; Mammalia; Primates; Hominidae. The record is from RNAcentral.